RNAcentral lists this ribosomal RNA (486 nucleotides) under uncultured bacterium. Its description in RNAcentral is "bacterial SSU rRNA". It matches the Rfam family "Bacterial small subunit ribosomal RNA", at positions 8 to 507 of the family's 1533-position model. The record is from RNAcentral.
AGAGUUUGAUCCUGGCUCAGGAUGAACGCUGGCGGCGUGCCUAAUACAUGCAAGUCGAGCGAACCACUUCGGUGGUGAGCGGCGAACGGGUGAGUAACACGUAGGUUAUCUGCCCAUCAGACGGGGACAACGAUUGGAAACGAUCGCUAAUACCGGAUAGGACGAAAGUUUAAAGGUGCUUCGGCACCACUGAUGGAUGAGCCUGCGGCGCAUUAGCUAGUUGGUAGGGUAAAGGCCUACCAAGGCGACGAUGCGUAGCCGACCUGAGAGGGUGAACGGCCACACUGGGACUGAGACACGGCCCAGACUCCUACGGGAGGCAGCAGUAGGGAAUCUUCGGCAAUGGGCGAAAGCCUGACCGAGCAACGCCGCGUGAAUGAUGAAGGCCUUCGGGUUGUAAAAUUCUGUUAUAAGGGAAGAAUGGCUCUAGUAGGAAAUGGCUAGAGUGUGACGGUACCUUAUGAGAAAGCCACGGCUAACUACGUG